UGCUUAACAGCUAGCCCCUCUACCAAAAACAACAACUCAAUAUUAAUAACCCCCAAUUUACUAUUAACCUCUAAACAAACCAUUUUUCCCCCCAAGUAUGGGCGACAGAAAAG
This 113-nucleotide ribosomal RNA is filed under the name Satyrichthys hians. RNAcentral describes it as "partial 16S ribosomal RNA". Lineage: Eukaryota; Metazoa; Chordata; Actinopteri; Perciformes; Peristediidae. The record is from RNAcentral.